RNAcentral lists this ribosomal RNA (301 nucleotides) under uncultured bacterium. Its description in RNAcentral is "partial 16S ribosomal RNA". It matches the Rfam family "Bacterial small subunit ribosomal RNA", at positions 509 to 807 of the family's 1533-position model. The record is from RNAcentral.
CAGCCGCCACGGUAAUACGUAGGUGGCAAGCGUUGUCCGGAAUUAUUGGGCGUAAAGGGCUCGCAGGCGGUUUCUUAAGUCUGAUGUGAAAGCCCCCGGCUCAACCGGGGAGGGUCAUUGGAAACUGGGAAACUUGAGUGCAGAAGAGGAGAGUAGAAUUCCACGUGUAGCGGUGAAAUGCGUAGAGAUGUGGAGGAACACCAGUGGCGAAGGCGACUCUCUGGUCUGUAACUGACGCUGAGGAGCGAAAGCGUGGGGAGCGAACAGGAUUAGAUACCCCCGUAGUCCCUGUCUCUUAUAC